CCUACGGGAGGCAGCAGUGGGGAAUUUUGGACAAUGGGCGCAAGCCUGAUCCAGCAAUGCCGCGUGAGUGAAGAAGGCCUUCGGGUUGUAAAGCUCUUUUGUCAGGGAAGAAACGGCUGAGGCUAAUAUCCUCGGCUAAUGACGGUACCUGAAGAAUAAGCACCGGCUAACUACGUGCCAGCAGCCGCGGUAAUACGUAGGGUGCAAGCGUUAAUCGGAAUUACUGGGCGUAAAGCGUGCGCAGGCGGUUUUGUAAGUCUGUCGUGAAAGCCCCGGGCUUAACCUGGGAAUUGCGAUGGAGACUGCAAGGCUUGAAUCUGGCGGAGGGGGGUAGAAUUCCACGUGUAGCAGUGAAAUGCGUAGAGAUGUGGAGGAACACCGAUGGCGAAGGCAGCCCCCUGGGUCAAGAUUGACGCUCAUGCACGAAAGCGUGGGGAGCAAACAGGAUUAGAUACCCUGGUAGUCCACGCCCUAAACGAUGUCUACUAGUUGUCGGGUCUUAAUUGACUUGGUAACGCAGCUAACGCGUGAAGUAGACCGCCUGGGGAGUACGGUCGCGAAGAUUAAAACUCAAAUGAAUUGACGG
Molecule: ribosomal RNA, 586 nt
Filed under: uncultured bacterium
Lineage: Bacteria
Description: bacterial SSU rRNA
Rfam family: Bacterial small subunit ribosomal RNA
Source: RNAcentral